Long non-coding RNA from Hyla sarda, 655 nucleotides. RefSeq lists it as uncharacterized. NCBI's taxonomy places the organism in Eukaryota, Metazoa, Chordata, Amphibia, Anura, Hylidae. The record is from RefSeq and is a predicted model, not a curated record. The transcript has 3 exons.
CACAGUUUGAUAAAUCUGGGCCACAGUCUUUAAAUGCACAAGAUUUCUAUCUGGCUGAUUGAUCAAUUUGGCAUAACUUAGGAUUGUCUAGUCUUAUUUUAGUUGGCUUUUAAACCAGGACAUUUGGUGCAUAUUUAUUAUUAUUAUUAUUUUUUUUUGCACUUCGAGGCCACACCAGUUUUUACCCAUUCUAUGCCUGUUUUGCCAAACCCACCUAAAGAGUGUCUAGAACUCAUAAUAAAGGUGUAACAAGUCAGCGCCGGCUUCUUAAAUUUAGCAGUCCAGCCACGGCUGCAGGAAAUAAUGAGUGACGUCCCUGACGCCGCACAGAGGAGCUGGCAGGAGACGUCACUCAUCAUAUUAUCCACACAGCCCACAAGACCCCCCACAUUAGCUGAGCCUGCUGAGCGUGGCCAGGUAUGUGACAAGGUGAAAUGGCGCACCCCUGGUCUUUCAACAGCAUUGAGGCUCAGAGGGCACAGUUGGCACAGUUUCCAGUUGACUAAAACGUUAUGAUGCUCUGAACUUUAUGUAGAUUUUUUUUGUUUUUGUUAUUUUGUGCUACAUUUUCGAUUUUAGUUUUUUUUUGUUUUGAAAAACAACAUCCUGUAUAUUAUCACAGAUUUUUGGAACAGAAUAUCAAUUCACAUUUAGG